Molecule: ribosomal RNA, 744 nt
Filed under: Elateridae sp. CO1077
Lineage: Eukaryota; Metazoa; Arthropoda; Insecta; Coleoptera; Elateridae
Description: SSU rRNA
Rfam family: Eukaryotic small subunit ribosomal RNA
Source: RNAcentral
AAAAAGCUCGUAGUCGAAUCUGUGUCUCGCGCCGCCGGUUCAUCGCUCGCGGUGUUUAACUGGCGUGUCCGCGGGACGUCCUGCCGGUGGGCUCAGCUCGCGAGGGCGGCCCAACUUCGAAUCCCGCCGCGGUGCUCUUCACUGAGUGUCGAGGCGGGCCGGCACGUUUACUUUGAACAAAUUAGAGUGCUUAAAGCAGGCUAAAACUUCGCCUGAAUACUGUGUGCAUGGAAUAAUGGAAUAGGACCUCGGUUCUAUUUUGUUGGUUUUCGGAACCCCGAGGUAAUGAUUAAUAGGAACGGAUGGGGGCAUUCGUAUUGCGACGUUAGAGGUGAAAUUCUUGGAUCGUCGCAAGACGGACAGAAGCGAAAGCAUUUGCCAAAAACGUUUUCAUUGAUCAAGAACGAAAGUUAGAGGUUCGAAGGCGAUCAGAUACCGCCCUAGUUCUAACCAUAAACGAUGCCAGCUAGCGAUCCGCCGACGUUCCUCCGAUGACUCGGCGGGCAGCUUCCGGGAAACCAAAGCUUUUGGGUUCCGGGGGAAGUAUGGUUGCAAAGCUGAAACUUAAAGGAAUUGACGGAAGGGCACCACCAGGAGUGGAGCCUGCGGCUUAAUUUGACUCAACACGGGAAACCUCACCAGGCCCGGACACCGGAAGGAUUGACAGAUUGAGAGCUCUUUCUUGAUUCGGUGGGUGGUGGUGCAUGGCCGUUCUUAGUUGGUGGAGCGAUUUGUCUGGUUAAU